This 3297-nucleotide ribosomal RNA is filed under the name Triticum aestivum (bread wheat). RNAcentral describes it as "partial small subunit ribosomal RNA". Lineage: Eukaryota; Viridiplantae; Streptophyta; Magnoliopsida; Poales; Poaceae. The record is from RNAcentral.
AUGGCCGCUCCAUCCAUGUCUUCCCGUAUUCCCAUCUUCCUGCUAGUCCUAUUCUCGUCCAUCUCGGCUUCUUCUCCCACUCCCACCAAUGGCAAUCGUAGUGACAUCGAUCUCGCCGCACUGCUCGCUUUCAAAGCGCAGCUCGGCGACCCUGACCGCAUCCUUGCUGGUAACUGGACCACCGACACAUCUUUCUGCCACUGGGUCGGCGUCUCAUGCAGCCGGCGCAGGCAACGCGUCACUGCCUUAUCACUGGUGGAUACACCUCUCGUAGGAUCUAUGGCUCCUCACAUGGGUAACCUCUCUUUCCUCUCCAUCCUCAACCUCACCCGCACCAAUCUGAUGGGCUCCAUCCCAGCGGAACUUGGUAGGCUACGUCGUCUUAGGUCUCUUGGUCUCAUGGAGAAUAGCUUGUCUGAUGCCAUACCUACUGUCCUAGGAAACCUUACGAGGCUCGAGCUCUUUAAUCUAGCUUCAAACCAACUCUCGGGCCAAAUCCCUCCAGAGAUGUUGCUGCGUAUGCACAAUCUUAGAAAAAUUAGUUUAAUGAAAAAUGACUUGAGUGGCCAAAUACCACCGCAUCUGUUCAACAACACACCUUUCUUGAUGUACAUCAAUUUUGGAAAUAACAGCCUGUCGGGUCCUAUACCACACUCCGUUGCAUCGCUAUCUAGGCUUGAAGUCUUUAACCUAGGGAUCAAUCAACUCUCAGGCCUAGUGCCACAAGCCAUGUACAACAAGUCCAGACUGCAUGACAUACUACUUGCAGGAAACGUUAACCUAACCGGAAUGAUUCCGAGCAAUCAUAGUUUUAGCCUCCCGAUGUUGCAGACUAUUUCGCUAAGUGGUAACAAUUUUGUCGGCCGGUUUCCAGCCGGUCUUGCGUCAUGCCAGUACCUCCAAGUAAUUGAUUUAGGUGGAAACUCUUUUAUGGAUGUUGUGCCAACAUGGUUAGCCAAAUUGUCACACCUCCAAGUCCUCUCCUUGGGUUUUAAUAACCUUAUUGGCUCCAUCCCAGCUGCUCUUUUUAAUCUGACCAGUCUUACUGUACUAGACCUCUCCAGGGGCAAUCUGACAGGGGGGGUUCCACCAGAACUAGGUCUUAUGCAUGACCUUUGGUAUCUGCAUCUUGAAGGCAAUCAAUUAUCAGGUAAAAUUCCAUCUUCCAUCGGUAACUUAUCCAAAUUGUCUUUCCUAGGUUUGAGAGAUAAUCAAUUGUUCGGCCAAGUACCAAGAACAGUUGGGGAAAAUGCAGCUUUGAACAUACUUGAUUUGGGAGAAAACAGUUUAGAGGGAAAUCUGGACUUCUUUUCAGCUCUUUCCAACUGCAGACAACUCCAAGCCCUUAAGAUAGACAAUAAUUUUUUCACUGGUGUCCUCUCUGACUACGUGGGCAAUCUCACCCCACGAUUAAUCACUUUUGUUGCAACUAACAACAAGUUAAAAGGUGGAUUUCCGAUAGCAAUUUCAAACAUAAGUAGCCUUACACAGAUAGAUCUUUCAAACAACCUAUUAACCGGGCCAGUCCCAGAAUCCAUAGCACUGUUGAAAAAUCUUGGAUCGCUUAAUCUCUUAGACAAUGACAUGUUAGGCCCUAUCCCAACACAAAUGGGCAUGCUCCGAAGUCUAGAACGGGUUUCUUUCCAUGCAAACAAAUUAUCAGGAUCUAUACCAAGUAGCUUUGGAAAUCUUAGUUUGUUAGAAAACAUCGACUUGUCUAGUAACCAGUUAAGUUCAAUGAUACCUGCAAGCCUUUUCCACCUAGAUAAACUUAUCACACUAGAUAUUUCUCACAAUUACUUUGUUGGUGCACUACCAGACGAUGUUUCAGGUCUAAGACAAAUAUACCAAAUGGACAUUUCUUCCAACUUCUUGAUAGGAAGCAUCCCAGACUCCUUCGGACAACUUAAUAUGCUAAUCUACCUAAAUCUAUCGCAUAACUCCUUCAAAGGCUCAAUUCCAGGCCCACUAGAAAAGCUAAGCAACUUAGCAUCAUUAGACCUCUCAUUUAACAAUCUCUCAGGUAGCAUUCCCAUAUUCCUUGCCAACUUUACAUACUUGACUACCUUGAACCUCUCAUUCAAUAGUCUAGAAGGCCAAAUACCCGAGGGAGGUGUUUUCUCAAACCUCACGUUACAAUCGUUGAUUGGGAAUGUUGGGCUAUGUGGUGCUCCGCGCCUAGAAUUUUUGCCAUGCCUUAACAUACCUCGCUCAAGUAACAAACACUUGCUACAAAUUCUACUCCCAACACUCACAUUAGCUAUUAGCGCUAUUGCCAUUUGUGUAUACCUAUGGUUCGGAAAGAAACCUAUGGGGGGAGAGGACAAAGAUUUUGCCGAUGCCACCGAUAUCAUAGGCCAUCGGAUAGUCUCCUAUCAUGAGCUCAUUCGUGCCACCAAUAGUUUCAGUGAAGACAACCUCUUGGGAUGCGGAAGCUUCGGAAAAGUCUUCAAGGGCCAACUAAGCACCGGUUUGGUGGUUGCUAUAAAAGUACUUGAUAUGCAGCUGGACCAGGCCAUCCAAAGUUUCGAUGUUGAGUGUCAUGUGCUUCGCAUGGCGCGACACCGCAAUCUGAUAAAGAUACUCAACACAUGUUCCAAUCUAGAUUUCAGAGCACUAGUGUUUCCGUACAUGCCAAAUGGCAGCUUGGAGAUGCUCCUACACCAGCCAAAGAGUACAGUGGAUUUGGGAUUUCUUGAGAGACUAGACAUCAUGCUUGAUGUGUCAAUGGCAAUGGAUUAUCUGCACCAUGAGUACUACAAGUUGAUCUUGCACUGUGACUUGAAGCCUAGCAACGUGUUGUUCGAUGAGGAGAUGACUGCACAUGUGGCAGACUUUGGCAUUGCAAGGUUGAUUCUAGAUGACAACUCCAUGACAUGUGCAAGCAUGCCUGGAACAGUUGGGUACAUGUCACCAGAGUACGGAUCUCUUGGAAAAGCAUCACGGAAGAGCGAUGUGUUUAGUUACGGAAUCAUGCUCCUUGAAGUCUUCACUGGAAGGAGACCCACAGAUGCUAUGUUUGGCGCACAACUAACUCUUAGGCAGUGGGUUCAUCAGGCAUUUCCUGCAAAGCUUGUCCAAGUCGUUGAUAGCCAGCUUCUGCAGGGCUCCUCUCUUUCUAGCUGCAAUCAGGAUGGUGGUUUUCUUGCGUCGGUCUUCGAGUUGGGAUUGAUCUGCUCUAGUGACUUGCCUGAGCAGAGGAUGACGAUGCAUGAUGUGGUAGUGAUGCUGAAGAAGAUCAAAGUCGAGUACACCAAACUGAUAGCUACUACUAUGCCACGUAGUGCAACACAAUGA